Molecule: ribosomal RNA, 429 nt
Filed under: Gemmatimonadota bacterium
Lineage: Bacteria; Pseudomonadati; Gemmatimonadota
Description: Gemmatimonadetes bacterium partial 16S ribosomal RNA
Rfam family: Bacterial small subunit ribosomal RNA
Source: RNAcentral
UAGGGAAUCUUCGGCAAUGGACGAAAGUCUGACCGAGCAACGCCGCGUGAGUGAAGAAGGUUUUCGGAUCGUAAAACUCUGUUGUUAGAGAAGAACAAGGACGUUAGUAACUGAACGUCCCCUGACGGUAUCUAACCAGAAAGCCACGGCUAACUACGUGCCAGCAGCCGCGGUAAUACGUAGGUGGCAAGCGUUGUCCGGAUUUAUUGGGCGUAAAGCGAGCGCAGGCGGUUUCUUAAGUCUGAUGUGAAAGCCCCCGGCUCAACCGGGGAGGGUCAUUGUAAACUGGGAGACUUGAGUGCAGAAGAGGAGAGUGGAAUUCCAUGUGUAGCGGUGAAAUGCGUAGAUAUAUGGAGGAACACCAGUGGCGAAGGCGGCUCUCUGGUCUGUAACAGACGCUAAGGCUCGAAAGCGUGGGGAGCAAACAGG